AAACCUUAAACGGGGGAUCUCUUGGCUCAUGGGUCGAUGAAGACCGCA
RNAcentral lists this ribosomal RNA (48 nucleotides) under Culicoides scoticus. Its description in RNAcentral is "partial 5.8S ribosomal RNA". Lineage: Eukaryota; Metazoa; Arthropoda; Insecta; Diptera; Ceratopogonidae. The record is from RNAcentral.